RNAcentral lists this long non-coding RNA (830 nucleotides) under Phoenix dactylifera (date palm). Its description in RNAcentral is "long non-coding RNA (PDAC_LNC000306)". Lineage: Eukaryota; Viridiplantae; Streptophyta; Magnoliopsida; Arecales; Arecaceae. The record is from RNAcentral.
UGUGCGGUGGGCGAUCCAAUGGUAGAUUCAUGUGAAGGUGAAUCCUUCUUUCACACUAAAGAUAAAAUCUUGAUUCAUCCAUAAUGCUAAAGUUGGUACUUUUGUGCUCCAAACCUCAUGAUUGAUCAUCUCUUUGAUUUGAUAGCCAAGGGGCACAAAGCUUAUCGAUUUCCCUACUUGAAGCCUCCUCAAAAUCGAUACUUGAUUGAACUUUAGCAUGGUCGAUCCAUUGCUUCAAUACGCUUUAGAUAGAUGCUAGAUGGCAAAUUGGAGAAUCUAUCUGCUCUCUGAUGAUAAAUUAUUGGUUAAAAGCUAUUUGCUCAUAUAAAAAUAAGAAUCUCAGUCUUUGUGGUCUUAACUCUUUUUAUAUCAUCGGUAUUUAAGGACAUUGGAUAAGUUUUCAAACUGAUGCUCAAGAAGCCAAUAUAGUGAAGGCAUUAACAACUAUAAUAUAAAGUUCAAGCCUUGUAGACUAUCGAACUCCAAUGACCUUACACUAUUGUAUUAGUCAGCAUACUACAUGUCGGAGAAUAUUUGCAGUAACUCAAUUCAUCAAGUAGCGUUGGCUAAUUUCAUGAUAAGUUAGUAUCCUUUUCGAUGGUCAAUUAAGAAACGUUAUGCAUCAUUUAAAGAGGACUAUUGCUCUAUUUUUGACUUCUCUCUAAUUUAAGUGAGGUCACACAGAGUCUUUACUAUAGCAUGCCUCUUUCAGCACCCUUGAUGGCGGACCACUGCAGAGGAAGAGAGAAAAAGGAAGAAGGGAAGGAAGAGGAAGAAGAGGUUAUAGAGACGCAAGAAGAAGAGAAGAGGAGAAAGAGAGGAGGAAGAAG